Molecule: transfer RNA, 75 nt
Filed under: Perca fluviatilis (European perch)
Lineage: Eukaryota; Metazoa; Chordata; Actinopteri; Perciformes; Percidae
Description: tRNA-Glu
Rfam family: tRNA
About the family: Transfer RNA (tRNA) molecules are approximately 80 nucleotides in length.
Source: RNAcentral
UCCCUGAUGGUCUAGUGGCUAGGAUUCGGCGCUCUCACGCGCGGCGCAGCCCCGGUUCGAUUCCCGGUCAGGGAA